UUCAGAUUUGUUCUAGUAUAAGCCCGGUUGACACUUUCUACUUUUUGAGUGUUUGUAUUGAGUUUUGUUUUAAGAACUGCAGUUUUGCCGAGUCGAAGUUCUAGGCAUUUUCUUAACAAUUCUUUAUCGCCUUCUUUCAUUUUUAGAACUGAAUCUGCAGGUAAAUAGGCUGGUUUCCAUGCCUUGAUCCGCCUGCCCGAACACACGAAUGAAUGCCUUUGACACAGUGUUGAACAGUUGCCACUCACACAGGCCACGAUGGAAUCGAUGGUGUGUUUCAUUCUCAGCAAUGGUGUAGACCGCUUGAGUUGCAGGCUGGAGGGGUGUGCUCGAGUUCCCACCGAAAGGUCUGUUGUUGUAACGGCAGUCUCCUUCAACACUUAUCUUGUGAUCACUGGAAAUCUUCCAAGGCAUCGGGAACAGCUGGGUGAGGCCGAAGUAACCGCAUAUUGCCAGUUGUCCCCUGUGAAUAGGUGACCACAUAUGAAGAUCACCUCGACUCGUUGAUGGCUUAGCCACUGCAUCAAAGUCUUCCCUGGACAGCCUGGUACAGGCCAAAUCAGACCAAUACAGUGACACUCCUCAAAGAGUUAUCUCCCCUUGGCCAGUCGUCAACAUAUAACCAAGUGACUUUCGUGAAGUGCAAAAUGUUAGUAUUCAUGUUGGAGCAAUACAAUUUAUAAACCGAAAAA
Molecule: long non-coding RNA, 692 nt
Organism: Gigantopelta aegis
Lineage: Eukaryota; Metazoa; Mollusca; Gastropoda; Neomphalida; Peltospiridae
Exons: 4
Source: RefSeq, a predicted model, not a curated record